UCCUAGAUACUAUAUAUUCUUCGCUCCAACCACUUAAAUCGUUCUUCCAUUUUUUCUUUUUCUUCUUCUAAAUCUCUCACUCUCGCAUUCACCUCCGCAAGUUCCCAUUCAUAUUUUUCGCUACGUUCCUUGUAUGCUUGACAAUUCCAUUCAGCUCUUCAAUUUUUAUCUUCCAACUCCUUCACUUUCUCCCUCAUUUCUGUAAUAAUUCUAUCUCCAUCAUUUUGCAUUCUCACCUGGAAUAACCACAUACCAUGAAGAUCCUGGAAUAUCUUCCUGUAGCUUUCCCAAUAACAUGAUUCCUCAGCCCAUUCAUCAAAUUCACAAGUAGGUUCAUCGGGUUGCUUGUACAAUGUGUUC
This 360-nucleotide long non-coding RNA is filed under the name Nicotiana benthamiana. RNAcentral's name for it is "long non-coding RNA (NBEN_LNC010588)". Lineage: Eukaryota; Viridiplantae; Streptophyta; Magnoliopsida; Solanales; Solanaceae. The record is from RNAcentral.